GGUGAUAUGAACCGUUAUAACCGGCGAUUUCCGAAUGGGGAAACCCAGUGUGUUUCGACACACUAUCAUUAACUGAAUCCAUAGGUUAAUGAGGCGAACCGGGGGAACUGAAACAUCUAAGUACUCCGAGGAAAAGAAAUCAACCGAGAUUCCCCCAGUAGCGGCGAGCGAACGGGGAGGAGCCCAGAGCCUGAAUCAGUGUGUGUGUUAGUGGAAGCGUCUGGAAAGGCGCGCGAUACAGGGUGACAGCCCCGUACACAAAAAUGCACAUGCUGUGAGCUCGAUGAGUAGGGCGGGACACGUGGUAUCCUGUCUGAAUAUGGGGGGACCAUCCUCCAAGGCUAAAUACUCCUGACUGACCGAUAGUGAACCAGUACCGUGAGGGAAAGGCGAAAAGAACCCCGGCGAGGGGAGUGAAAAAGAACCUGAAACCGUGUACGUACAAGCAGUGGGAGCACGCUUAGGCGUGUGACUGCGUACCUUUUGUAUAAUGGGUCAGCGACUUAUAUUCUGUAGCAAGGUUAACCGAAUAGGGGAGCCGAAGGGAAACCGAGUCUUAACUGGGCGUUAAGUUGCAGGGUAUAGACCCGAAACCCGGUGAUCUAGCCAUGGGCAGGUUGAAGGUUGGGUAACACUAACUGGAGGACCGAACCGACUAAUGUUGAAAAAUUAGCGGAUGACUUGUGGCUGGGGGUGAAAGGCCAAUCAAACCGGGAGAUAGCUGGUUCUCCCCGAAAGCU
This 740-nucleotide ribosomal RNA is filed under the name Escherichia coli. Its description in RNAcentral is "partial 23S ribosomal RNA". It matches the Rfam family "Bacterial large subunit ribosomal RNA", at positions 85 to 867 of the family's 2925-position model. The record is from RNAcentral. Lineage: Bacteria; Pseudomonadati; Pseudomonadota; Gammaproteobacteria; Enterobacterales; Enterobacteriaceae.